CCACACAUGGCUGCCCAAACAUUGCCCAGCAACUUGAGCUUCACUGAAGAGAGCAGCAACCUCACAGAGAAGGUCCUGCUUACACCGCUCUCUCCAACACGUGCUCGCCAGGCAUACAACAACAGCAAAACAUCAAGGUAACCAAAAAGAAGGACAGCAGUCCUCACACCCCCACACACCCCUCCUGGUCGGUCUCGGUCAAGCAUUUUCUAUACCCUCGCCAAAAUGUUUCUUUCCUGCAUCAACUACUAUGUGGACAAGAACUGCAAUUUCGGUGUCGUCAGCGCUGUGCUGCUUGUGAAUGUGUACGUGCUGCAGUACCUCCCCGGAACUGUCGUGGUCCCCUUCUUGACUCUGUGCGCCUGCAUCACGGCCGGGGUCAGCAAGGGACUGAAGCGCAUCAUCAAGCAGCCCAGGCCGCCUGGAGCUCCGAAGGCGAGCCCUGGUAUGCCGAGCAACCACGCUACAAGCUUAUCGUUCUUGUCCGUGGUGACGGUCUAUGUCCUGCAGCGCUAUGCGUCCAGCACUGCCGUCGUUGGUGGCGCGAAUCAGACACUCUUCCACACGCCGCCUCUGCCUUCUCUGCCGCUGCCGUGUGUAAGGCCGCUGCAGGUGCUGAUUGCGGUGUACAGUGUGUAUGCGACAGGCCUGCGGGUCGCUCAAGGCCAUCACACGGUAGCGCAAGUCACUGCGGGAUACCUGUUGGGAUCCACCCUCGCCAUUUUGUCCUUGGCGGCGAACCACAGCGGCUACACUGGCACUCGGUUUGGUGGUCGCGUGGAUGAGUUGCCUCUGCCAGAGAAGGUAAUUAUGCUUUUUGCUAGCGUUGCGAUCUCUGCGAUGGCAAUGCGUUCCAUCGUUCGUGGCUCACACGUUUCCCGCGUCGCGCGCACCAGCGCCCCCGUCAUGAAAGGUGUCGAAGAGGGAGGAAAGUGAGGGGACCGGGAUUUCUCAACGUGAAUCAUCGCAGAUGAACAAGCAGAGAAGGUGGCGCCUGCCAAGCAAACAGCCACGAAAAGGAGGACCAAAUAAAAUUACGAAAUAACGGGUAGCACCGCCUGCUCUCUCCCCUGCCAUGAUUCUUUCUCUCGUUGUCCUAUGCCUGAAUUCACACCGCUUGGACUUCUUAUUAUUGUUAUUUUUUUUUUUCCUUUUCCGGGACUUUCCGAAUUUCAUUUUUCCCUCUCUUUCUCCCCCUCCGCCGUUUUUUCGUUAUUUACGUCGUUUCGUUUUCUGUGUGUCUUUGUCUAUGUCUCUCUUCCUCUGUGUGUGUGCGUGUCUGCGUGUGUGUGUGAGAGGCUGUCUCACACGGCUUGCUCAAAAACGAAGAAACGAGAAACAAACCAAACGAACAACAAGAACAAAGAAAGAAAAAAGGCAGGUUGUUUUUUUGUUUCGAGUCCCCCACCAUUUUUUUUUAGUUCAUGGCCUGUGUGUAUACAUACACACGUAUAUAUAUAUAUAUAUGUAUAUACAUAUGGUAUCGUUUACAUUGAAUCCCCUCUACAAGCAGAAAAUAUUUAACGGAAAACAACAACAACAAAAGCAAGGUGGCGGUGGUAGUGGUAGUGGCCUAGCAGUUGAACGCAGGAAAACGACAGCGAUGUGAAAAAAGGGGGGAAUUUUCUUUCAUUGUGCGUUUUUUCUUCCCUUCCCCCCCUUCCUUACUUUUAUUCUUUUUAGUUGUCUCUCGUUCCUCUUUUUCUUCCCCUCUUUCAUAAGGCUCGCUGAGUCGCCUUCCUUCUUGUUUUUUUUGUCUUCUCUCUCCACACCCACACACUCUCUUCCGCCCUUCUCCCCCUCAUCCCUUCAUCGAAAUAUCACGCUCCGACGCAUUCCUGCUGACUGAGCAGCACUGCUGGACUGCUGCGCGGGCGUUUGUUUUUGUGAGCGCCCAGGUGAGGAUGCGAGCCAUGAGGGAGGAAGAGAUGAGAUGAGGGGUGCAUCGAGGUUGAAGCAUACUCAAGCACAGACACAC
Molecule: unclassified non-coding RNA, 1978 nt
Filed under: Leishmania donovani
Lineage: Eukaryota; Euglenozoa; Kinetoplastea; Trypanosomatida; Trypanosomatidae
Description: gene:LdHU3.23.0990(CDS-product:PAP2_superfamily_p utative)
Source: RNAcentral